UACAUGGGGUGCAAACGUUGCUCGGAAUUAUUGGGCGUAAAGAGCUCGUAGGCGGUUUGUCGCGUCUGCUGUGAAAACUGGAGGCUCAACCUCCAGCCUGCAGUGGGUACGGGCAAACUAGAGUGCGGUAGGGGAGAUUGGAAUUCCUGGUGUAGCGGUGGAAUGCGCAGAUAUCAGGAGGAACACCGAUGGCGAAGGCAGAUCUCUGGGCCGUAACUGACGCUGAGAAGCGAAAGCAUGGGGAGCGAACAGG
Molecule: ribosomal RNA, 253 nt
Filed under: uncultured bacterium
Lineage: Bacteria
Description: partial 16S ribosomal RNA
Rfam family: Bacterial small subunit ribosomal RNA
Source: RNAcentral